Molecule: long non-coding RNA, 964 nt
Filed under: Lathyrus oleraceus (garden pea)
Lineage: Eukaryota; Viridiplantae; Streptophyta; Magnoliopsida; Fabales; Fabaceae
Description: Pisum sativum (pea) long non-coding RNA (PSAT_LNC040499)
Source: RNAcentral
UGAAAAACUCAAAUAUCAAUACGUUACAAUUAAAGUCAAUAAAUUUAAUUAUAAUGUUUUUUGCAUUUUCUCUGUUUUUAGUGUUUGAAACAUAUAUUUAACUUUUUUUUAAAAAUGUUUAAAAUAAGUAAAUAAUUCUACAAAGGUUGAUUUGGAAUAGUAAACAUAGUCACCUUGAGAAGGCUAUUAUAGGUUUCAUGUUACUAAUAAAAGUAGUUGUACGUUAUUUUCACAAUUUGUUUUGUUUUUCAUAACUUUAACCCAUCUUAGUUUAUAUAAACUGUCAUUUUCUUUAUUUCUUUUUUUAUGAUCACUUUUUUAAAACAACAUAUUAUGAUAUCAAUAAAUUAUAUUUUAGAAUUUUAGAUUUAGAAAAACUCAAAUAUCAAUAUUUUACAAUUUAAGUCUAUAAAUUUAAUCAUAAUGUUUUUUGCAUUUUCUCUGUUUUUAGUCUUUAAAACAUAUAUUUAACUUUUUUUUAAAAAAGUUUAAAAUAAGUAAAUAAUUUUACAAAGGUUGGUUUGGAAUAGUAAACAUAGUCACCUUGAGAAGGCUACUAUAGGUUUCAUGUUACUAAUAAAAGUAGUUGUACGUUAUUUUCAUAAUUUGUUUUGUUUUUCAUAACUUUAACCCAUCUUAGUUUAUAUAAACUGUCAUUUUCUUUAUUUCUAUUUUUAUGGUCAUUUCUUUAAAACAAAAUAUUAAGAUAUCAAUCAAUUAUAUUUUAGAAUUAUAGAUUUUGAAAAACUCAAAUAUCAAUACGUUACAAUUAAAGUCAAUAAAUUUAAUUAUAAUGUUUUUUGCAUUUUCUCUAUUUUUAGUGUUUGAAACAUAUAUUUAACUUCUUUUUUAAAAAUGUUUAAAAUAAGUAAAUAAUUCUACAAAGGUUGAUUUGGAAUAGUAAACAUAGUCGCCUUGAGAAGGCUAUUAUAGGUUUCAUGUUACUAAUAAAAGUAGUUGUACG